UCCCUGGUGGCUCAGAUGGUAAAGUGUCUGCGUGCAAUACAGGAGACCCAGGUUCGAUCCCUGGGUUGGGAA
Molecule: non-coding RNA, 72 nt
Organism: Bos taurus (domestic cattle)
Lineage: Eukaryota; Metazoa; Chordata; Mammalia; Artiodactyla; Bovidae
Source: Rfam